GAUCAAAUCUUAGUUGGCAGAGCAUCUGCUUUGCAUGCAGAAAGUCCCGGGUUCAGUCCCCAGGGGCAUCU
This is a non-coding RNA of Podarcis lilfordi (Lilford's wall lizard), 71 nucleotides long. NCBI's taxonomy places the organism in Eukaryota, Metazoa, Chordata, Lepidosauria, Squamata, Lacertidae. The record is from the annotation of a GenBank genome assembly.